Molecule: transfer RNA, 76 nt
Filed under: Candidatus Saccharimonadota bacterium
Lineage: Bacteria; Candidatus Saccharimonadota
Description: tRNA-Pro
Rfam family: tRNA
About the family: Transfer RNA (tRNA) molecules are approximately 80 nucleotides in length. Their secondary structure includes four short double-helical elements and three loops (D, anti-codon, and T loops). Further hydrogen bonds mediate the characteristic L-shaped molecular structure. tRNAs have two regions of fundamental functional importance: the anti-codon, which is responsible for specific mRNA codon recognition, and the 3' end, to which the tRNAs corresponding amino acid is attached (by aminoacyl-tRNA synthetases). tRNAs cope with the degeneracy of the genetic code in two manners: having more than one tRNA (with a specific anti-codon) for a particular amino acid; and 'wobble' base-pairing, i.e. permitting non-standard base-pairing at the 3rd anti-codon position.
Source: RNAcentral
CAGGGUAUAGCUUAGUUGGUAAAGCGCUGGGCUGGGGGUCCAGAGACCGUGAGUUCAAGUCUCGCUACCCUGACCA